GAUGAACGCUGGCGGCGUGCCUAAUACAUGCAAGUCGAGCGAACGGACGAGAAGCUUGCUUCUCUGAUGUUAGCGGCGGACGGGUGAGUAACACGUGGAUAACCUACCUAUAAGACUGGGAUAACUUCGGGAAACCGGAGCUAAUACCGGAUAAUAUUUUGAACCGCAUGGUUCAAUAGUGAAAGACGGUCUUGCUGUCACUUAUAGAUGGAUCCGCGCUGCAUUAGCUAGUUGGUAAGGUAACGGCUUACCAAGGCAACGAUGCAUAGCCGACCUGAGAGGGUGAUCGGCCACACUGGAACUGAGACACGGUCCAGACUCCUACGGGAGGCAGCAGUAGGGAAUCUUCCGCAAUGGGCGAAAGCCUGACGGAGCAACGCCGCGUGAGUGAUGAAGGUCUUCGGAUCGUAAAACUCUGUUAUUAGGGAAGAACAUAUGUGUAAGUAACUAUGCACAUCUUGACGGUACCUAAUCAGAAAGCCACGGCUAACUACGUG
RNAcentral lists this ribosomal RNA (497 nucleotides) under uncultured bacterium. Its description in RNAcentral is "partial 16S ribosomal RNA". It matches the Rfam family "Bacterial small subunit ribosomal RNA", at positions 28 to 507 of the family's 1533-position model. The record is from RNAcentral.